CAGAAGUAUUUAAGUGACUUGCCUGAGCCACUCCACUAAGUAACCAGAGUUGGGAUUUUAAAGCCUGCUCAACUGACCCCAGGGCCUAUGCUUUCUGCACUAUACUGUACUGUCCCUUACUUCUCCAUUCUCUGGUCAUCACUGCAUGAGCUGAAGUAAGAAGGUGCGGUGUUGUCUCAACUGACCUCAGUUCUGCCUCUUCUUCUGAACUGUGAAGGUAUGGGCCAUGCCUGACUCACCUUUGAAUUUUCCAGAGGCAGUAUCAUGCUACUACGGUCAGGAAAGAACUUGAAGUUGACUUAGCCACAGGACAUGAGAAUUGAACACUUAAGUCAAAUAUCCAGCUUAUUUGGUUACAUUGCUAAACAUAAGAAAAUCCAUCCUGUGUCUACAGAAAUGAACAUCCCCUCCCAUGAACCCUAAUAAAUAUCUGGAAGAUCUCAAGGAAUGAACCUUGGCUGACCCGUUUGUGCACAUCUUUGAAUUCCCUCCCUUCUGCACUUUUUGUGGAACUGGAAGUAUUCAAAAGCAACAAUACCAUCAUUCAGAACUUCUGGCUCCCUGAGGACUAGACCUGAGCCAUGGCCAGCAAACACCCUUUAGAAUCAGACCAGUGGACCAGGCAAACACUCUAAGGAGCUGCUUUUCUUCAGCCCUUCUGAGCUGGGGGAAAGAAGGACCCCACGUCUGAUACACCAGUGACCGUUGCCAUCUGGCCACCGAAGAGAGUGUCCCCUCUAUAGGGACUGCUUAGCGUCCAGACGCACACCAAGACCUGAGGUAUCAUCUUUGGCAGUGGGCAGGAAAUACCAAGGAACUUCCUUCAUGGGCCCUUGGAUGCCCCCCAGAGACUCAUGGUCACCCUCACGUCAUAGGACAAGAAAGAGUUCAGCCUACAGAGACUGUGGACUUUCAGCCCUUCCCCUCUCAGCCAUCCCACUCAGAGCCCAAGAGCUCAUCGACUCCUCAUUCUACUGGGCAUCCCUGCAGUGAGACAGUUCCCGUGGACACCAAGCUGACACCACCCUCACAGCUUUGAGCAUUCCGAGUUUUUCAUCACUCCAUGGAUCCAGAUAGAGCCACUGAAGUUAAAUAUGGCUGGGAAGAGAAAGAUGAGACAGGAAAUGAAAGAGCUUCUCCAGUCUCCGCAGAAAUGUCGGCUCUUGGACGGACGCCUUCAUCACCCUGUGCCUCACCAGCAGCCAUAAACGUGAGAGCCUUCCAGUGAUAGGAGAUUCAUCCUUCCAUCUAUCCACCCAGUUAUCCAUCCAUCAAAUUCCUCCACCUCUCCCAUGCCUCAGCAUCUUGCCAAGCAUUCUUUCCCAUCUCUACACCUCCAGUCUUCACGGGGGUCCCCGUGUCAAUGACCCCACUGUCAAAGUACUGGCUUACUUGCAUCAGUGGAAGAUUCUUGAGUCACAUGUCAUUACUCAAACUGGAUGAAGCAAAGACCCACAGGUAGAAAUUUAGAGGUCAAAAGAAUGUCAUCAGCAUUUGAAAUCUCAACUCUCCACUGUGUGGUCUUCAUUCUCAGCUUCACCUUAGGGAGCCCCCAGAUACAGGUCUUUUGCAUGGUAAACCAAGCCUCAGUCUCAAACUUUUUUUUAUCAGGAAACCCAAGAUCAGCUAGCUCCCUUUCUGUUCUGCAAUGCCUUCAGCCUCAUGUGAUUCCUCACUUUCCUCAGGCAGAGAAACAGCUCUUAGGAAAAUGGCCAGGAAUGAGUCAUAGCUCAAGACAGGGGGUGUGGGUUAUAAUCUCAACUCUGUUACUUCUCUGUUUUGUGUUCUUGAACAAUUUGGUUUUUUUCUCCCUGGGCCUCAAUUUCCUAAUCUGGAGAAUGUCAUGAUCUCUGUGAAGCUUUCCCCAAGCAAGUGCCCCUCCCUUACUUGAACUAGUCACUUCUUCCCCAAAUACUCACAACACACUGUCCUGCAUUUAUCCUGACAUACCACAUCCUAGAGGAGUAGCUCCUGGAAAGCAGAAAUUUCUCUUGUAGCCCUAGGCCAGGACACAGUAAGUAUAGAAUAUCUCCUUCACUGGUAUGAUCAGGAGAUCCCCAUAGCUCUCCUGAUCUUUGAAAUCACAUGAUUAACCUGGUCAUUCUACCCCAAGCUGGAUUUAUUCCUAACUGGCUGGACCAAUGCCCUCUGCAUUCUUUCUUUCUCUGAAGCAGCUCUCAAAACCCAGUCUCUAUCUUUGAGCUUUUUCAGACUAACUGACCUCUUCCAUCUUCACAACAAAUUUAGGUCCCUCUGCGUUACUCACUGCAUGCCAUAUGACCCCAGGUAGUCUUUCUUUUUGCUGGUGUGCUCUGAAAAUGCCAUUAUUGUGACCCAAUCUUGCCAGUCUUUCCAUUUUCAAGCCUCCAAGCCUGAUGAUUGCAGAAUCAUCUUGGCUUGCAAGGUGCCAGAAAUCAAGGGCUGUCGAUCCAUCUAGACAGUGCCCCAAGCAUACAGCUGUCUCAUAAAUGCUUUUAGGGAUAAUGAAUGGUAAUGACAUUCACAUUGAUUAUGUUAUAAUAUUCUGCAGCGUAUGUUCCAGAUGAGCACAAGGGUCAAUUUAAAAAGCCCAAUUCAGUGAUGAUCAGUGGAAGACGGCACCUCACAAAUAUGGGAGGGGGCUUGUAUUUGGAAAGAACAUAUUCAAUAUGAUCAUAUUAUGUUACAUAUUUAGAAAAUGUAAAACAACAACAACAACACAUUAUUUGAAACACAAACUAGGGACGCCUAGGUG
This is a long non-coding RNA of Mustela erminea (ermine), 2734 nucleotides long. RefSeq lists it as uncharacterized. The record is from RefSeq and is a predicted model, not a curated record. Lineage: Eukaryota; Metazoa; Chordata; Mammalia; Carnivora; Mustelidae. The transcript has 7 exons.